This 463-nucleotide ribosomal RNA is filed under the name uncultured bacterium. RNAcentral describes it as "partial 16S ribosomal RNA". The stretch from base 20 to 326 matches the Rfam family "Bacterial small subunit ribosomal RNA", at positions 47 to 358 of the family's 1533-position model. The record is from RNAcentral.
GACGAACGCUGGCGGCGUGCUUAACACAUGCAAGUCGAACGGAAAGGCCUUUUCGGAGGUACUCGAGUGGCGAACGGGUGAGUAACACGUGGGUGAUCUGCCCUGCACUCUGGGAUAAGCCUGGGAAACUGGGUCUAAUACCGGAUAGGACCGCACUUUAGUGUGUGUGGUGGAAAGUUUUUUCGGUGUAGGAUGAGCCCGCGGCCUAUCAGCUUGUUGGUGGGGUAAUGGCCUACCAAGGCGGCGACGGGUAGCCGGACUGAGAGGUUGGUCGGCCACAUUGGGGCGGAGAGAGGGCGCGGAGGCGGACGGGGGGGAGCGGGGGGGAGGGGUGGGGGAGGGGGGCGGGGGUGGGGCGGGGGGGGGGGGGGGGGGAGGGCGGGGGGGGGGUGGUAGGGUGCUUUCGCCAGGGACGAAGCGUUUUGUGACGGUACCUGGAGAAGAAGCACCGGCUAACUACGUG